UGGAAAGAUGAAUCAAAGAAGGUAAUAAUCCUGUAGUCGAAAAUGUUGUCUCUCUUGAGUGGAUCCUGAGUACGACGGAGCACGUGAAAUUCCGUCGGAAUCUGGGAGGACCAUCUCCUAAGGCUAAAUACUCUCUAGUGACCGAUAGUGAACCAGUACCGUGAGGGAAAGGUGAAAAGCACCCCGGAAGGGGAGUGAAAUAGAACCUGAAACCGUGUGCUUACAAGUAGUCAGAGCCCGUUAAUGGGUGAUGGCGUGCCUUUUGUAGAAUGAACCGGCGAGUUACGAUUUGAUGCAAGGUUAAGCAGUAAAUGUGGAGCCGUAGCGAAAGCGAGUCUGAAUAGGGCGUUUAGUAUUUGGUCGUAGACCCGAAACCAGGUGAUCUACCCUUGGUCAGGUUGAAGUUCAGGUAACACUGAAUGGAGGACCGAACCGACUUACGUUGAAAAGUGAGCGGAUGAACUGAGGGUAGCGGAGAAAUUCCAAUCGAACCUGGAGAUAGCUGGUUCUCUCCGAAAUAGCUUUAGGGCUAGCCUCAAGUGAUGAUUAUUGGAGGUAGAGCACUGUUUGGACGAGGGGCCCCUCUCGGGUUACCGAAUUCAGACAAACUCCGAAUGCCAAUUAAUUUAACUUGGGAGUCAGAACAUGGGUGAUAAGGUCCGUGUUCGAAAGGGAAACAGCCCAGACCACCAGCUAAGGUCCCAAAAUAUAUGUUAAGUGGAAAAGGAUGUGGCGUUGCCCAGACAACUAGGAUGUUGGCUUAGAAGCAGCCAUCAUUUAAAGAGUGCGUAAUAGCUCACUAGUCGAGUGACACUGCGCCGAAAAUGUACCGGGGCUAAACAUAUUACCGAAGCUGUGGAUUGUCCUUUGGACAAUGGUAGGAGAGCGUUCUAAGGGCGUUGAAGCAUGAUCGUAAGGACAUGUGGAGCGCUUAGAAGUGAGAAUGCCGGUGUGAGUAGCGAAAGACGGGUGAGAAUCCCGUCCACCGAUUGACUAAGGUUUCCAGAGGAAGGCUCGUCCGCUCUGGGUUAGUCGGGUCCUAAGCUGAGGCCGACAGGCGUAGGCGAUGGAUAACAGGUUGAUAUUCCUGUACCACCUAU
This 1100-nucleotide ribosomal RNA is filed under the name Staphylococcus aureus. Its description in RNAcentral is "partial 23S ribosomal RNA". It matches the Rfam family "Bacterial large subunit ribosomal RNA", at positions 343 to 1451 of the family's 2925-position model. Lineage: Bacteria; Bacillati; Bacillota; Bacilli; Caryophanales; Staphylococcaceae. The record is from RNAcentral.